Molecule: ribosomal RNA, 976 nt
Filed under: Bucorvus leadbeateri (southern ground hornbill)
Lineage: Eukaryota; Metazoa; Chordata; Aves; Bucerotiformes; Bucorvidae
Description: 12S ribosomal RNA
Source: RNAcentral
GUGUGCUAAGUGCACCUUCCGGUACACUUACCUUGUUACGACUUACCUCAUCUUUAGCUGACAUGCGUAUUAUUUAUUCAAAGGCGUAGCUUGUGAGGAGGGUGACGGGCGGUAUGUACGUGCCUCAGGGCCAACUUAAAGGGGGCUGAUAUUGUCCCGCUUUACUGCUAAAUCCGCCUUCCAGGGGGAGUUUCAUACCCCUUUCCGUAGAUUUUCUAUGUUAGGAAAAUGUAGCCCAUUUCUUCCCCUCCAUAGGCUAUACCUUGACCUGUCGUACUAGCGGGAUUGGGCUAUUAUGCCUACUGCCAUGCUCUCAGGGGAGGUAGGCUGGCGACGGCGGUAUAUAAGCUGUUUUGGCAAGGAGGGGUUGGGUAUAUCGUGGAUUAUCGAUUAUAGAACAGGCUCCUCUAGGUGGGUUUGGGGCACCGCCAAGUCCUUAGAGUUUUAAGCGUUUGUGCUCGUAGUUCUCAGGCGGAUGUUUUGGUGUAGUAAACAUCAGGAUUUAGGGCCGAGCAUAGUGGGGUAUCUAAUCCCAGUUUGUGCCUUGGCUUUCGUGGAGUUAGAUUAAUCGUGAGUGCUAGGGUCAUUUUGAUUGAGGAUCUUACGUGCAACCUUGGCUUGUGACAGCUUGGUAGCAUUUUGGCCCUAGUUGAUGUGAUAAUGCUGUGCCACUCUUUACGCCGUGUGGACAAUUAGUUUGGGUCUCUUGUGUGACCGCGGUGGCUGGCACAAGAUUUACCAACCCUAUGUUUGCUAUGACUGAGUCAAGCUUUCGCUCAUGGCUCAAUGUUAGUUACUGCUGAAUACCCGUGGGGGUGUGGCCAGGCAAGGCGUCUUAGGCUACCGUUGGGCAAGGUGUGCCUGAUGCCUGCUCCUUAUGUCUUGGUAAGAGGCUGUGGGCAUUUACACCGGGGCGUGGAUGCUUGCAUGUAUACAUCUAGCAAAAACUAAUGGUAAGGUCAGGACUAAAUCUUUU